Molecule: ribosomal RNA, 253 nt
Filed under: uncultured bacterium
Lineage: Bacteria
Description: partial 16S ribosomal RNA
Rfam family: Bacterial small subunit ribosomal RNA
Source: RNAcentral
UACGGAGGGUGCAAGCGUUGUUCGGAUUUACUGGGUGUAAAGGGUGCGUAGGUGGCUUGAAAAGUUUGAUGUGAAAGCUCAGGGCUUAACCCUGAAAUGGCAUUGAAUACUGUCGAGCUGGAGGUUUGGAGGGGGGACUGGAAUUCUUGGUGUAGCAGUGAAAUGCGUAGAUAUCAAGAGGAACACCAGUGGCGAAGGCGAGUCCCUGGACAACACCUGACACUGAGGCACGAAAGCUAGGGGAGCAAACAGG